This 975-nucleotide long non-coding RNA is filed under the name Capra hircus (goat). RNAcentral describes it as "lncRNA (ENSCHIG00010020119.1)". The record is from RNAcentral. Lineage: Eukaryota; Metazoa; Chordata; Mammalia; Artiodactyla; Bovidae.
AUGGUUUCUGUCUUCUCCACCCGGGCCAGAGGGCCGUGGUGGUGGAUAAGGACCUUGCAUCAGUCACGCAACCGGAGGAAAGGAACCGAUCGAGUAGGUGUUUCUCCGGGCUCCGUCCGGCUCCGCGGGCGAACCCGGCUCUGGACCCGACGUGGGCUCGGGCGGACUGAUCCGCCCCGUGAAGUGCGUCGGCACCGAGCGUUCCUUUUUCCCCGGAGCCCGGAAGAGGGACUGAGGAAACUGAUGAACUUUAACAAACCGCCUUCGCAUCCCUCGCCUCCCUCCCCAGCCCGGCCCUGCACACACCGCUCCGCGCCGUCCGCUCGCGUCAGGUCAGCUGUCAACACAACCCUUUGUGUCUCCGUCGGCACAAGCAGGGUCCCCAGCCCCUCUCAGAGAAAUUCGAACGAUGGCCGGAGGACACGCGCGCGCGCGCCCGUGACCGAGUGACAUUUCGUGCGGAGCCGAGCCGCCCGGGCACCCCGGGCAAACGCCCGGCCACCGCCGGACGCUCCCAACUUUCCACCCGGGGCUCAGCUCUCUCCAUCCUCGCGCGUCACCUCCGCGCCUCCCUACCUGCCGCCCCCGACCCCGCGCCCGGGAGACCCCCCUCGGCGGCCCGCGGGCUCCGGGAGACGCUCCCCAGGGGCGCUCCCCGCCUCCCUCAGCCCUCCGGCACGGGCUCCCUCGCUCCCGCCACAAAGGCGGCGGUGACAGGCCUCUGGCCUUGGGGCGCGGACCGCACGGACUGGGUCUCCUCGUGGGGCUUGAGGCUGGCACGGGCGCCCAGCCUCGCCGUACAAACGCAGCAGCGCUCACGACCCGCGCUCCGCCGGGCCAGCCCUCCGAAAAAAGUCAGCCGCGCGCCGGCCUGCGCAGCCAGGGUGUGCACAGCCCGCCAAAGGGCAGCGGCGCGCGCUCGCGCCCGGCUGGCCACCUCUCAUCACCACCGCCCCCGCGCCCCGCCGCCUCCCC